This 500-nucleotide ribosomal RNA is filed under the name uncultured bacterium. Its description in RNAcentral is "partial 16S ribosomal RNA". It matches the Rfam family "Bacterial small subunit ribosomal RNA", at positions 30 to 523 of the family's 1533-position model. The record is from RNAcentral.
AUUGAACGCUGGCGGAAUGCUUUACACAUGCAAGUCGAACGGCAGCACGGACUUCGGUCUGGUGGCGAGUGGCGAACGGGUGAGUAAUGUAUCGGAACGUGCCCAGUCGUGGGGGAUAACGUAGUGAAAAUUACGCUAAUACCGCAUACGAUCUAUGGAUGAAAGCGGGGGAUCGCAAGACCUCGCGCGAUGGGAGCGGCCGAUAUCAGAUUAGGUAGUUGGUGGGGUAAAGGCCCACCAAGCCAACGAUCUGUAGCUGGUCUGAGAGGACGACCAGCCAAACUGGAACUGAGACACGGUCCAGACUCCUACGGGAGGCAGCAGUGGGGAAUUUUGGACAAUGGGCGAAAGCCUGAUCCAGCCAUUCCGCGUGCAGGAUGAAGGCCCUCGGGUUGUAAACUGCUUUUGUACAGAACGAAAAGGUUUCUACUAAUACUAGGAGCUCAUGACGGUACUGUAAGAAUAAGCACCGGCUAACUACGUGUCAGCCGCCGCGGUAA